Molecule: ribosomal RNA, 301 nt
Filed under: uncultured bacterium
Lineage: Bacteria
Description: partial 16S ribosomal RNA
Rfam family: Bacterial small subunit ribosomal RNA
Source: RNAcentral
CAGCAGCCGCGGGAAUACGGAGGGUGCAAGCGUUAAUCGGAAUUACUGGGCGUAAAGCGCACGCAGGCGGUUUGUUAAGUCAGAUGUGAAAUCCCCGAGCUUAACUUGGGAACUGCAUUUGAAACUGGCAAGCUAGAGUCUUGUAGAGGGGGGUAGAAUUCCAGGUGUAGCGGUGAAAUGCGUAGAGAUCUGGAGGAAUACCGGUGGCGAAGGCGGCCCCCUGGACAAAGACUGACGCUCAGGUGCGAAAGCGUGGGGAGCAAACAGGAUUAGAUACCCGCGUAGUCCCUGUCUCUUAUAA